RNAcentral lists this ribosomal RNA (914 nucleotides) under marine metagenome. RNAcentral's name for it is "bacterial SSU rRNA". It matches the Rfam family "Bacterial small subunit ribosomal RNA", at positions 611 to 1520 of the family's 1533-position model. The record is from RNAcentral.
AACCAGAGAAUUGCACCCGAAACUGCAUGUCUUGAGUUCAGCAGAGGGAAUCGGAAUCCAAGGUGUAGCGGUGAAAUGCGUAGAUAUCUUGGAGAACAUCAGUGGCGAAGGCGGAUUCCUGGGUUGGUACUGACGCUGAGGUGCGAAAGCUAAGGUAGCGAACAGGAUUAGAUACCCUGGUAGUCCCAGCCGUAAACGGUGCACACUUGGUGUUGGAGGUAUUGACCCCUCCAGUGCCGGAGCUAACGCGUUAAGUGUGCCGCCUGGGGAGUACGGCCGCAAGGCUAAAACUCAAAGAAAUUGACGGGGGCCCGCACAAGCGGAGGAGCAUGUGGCUUAAUUCGAUGCAACGCGAAGAACCUUACCAGGGCUUGACAUGGCGACCCUUCGGGGGUGGUAGCGAAAGUUACCUUUACGAUCACAGGUGCUGCAUGGCUGUCGUCAGUUCGUGCCGUGAGGUGUUGGGUUAAGUCCCGCAACGAACGCAACCCUUGUGUUUAGUUGCCACCGCGGGUGUUAAACUCGCGAGCACUCUAGACAGACUGCCCGUACAAGCGGGAGGAAGGUGGGGACGACGUCAAGUCAGUAUGGCCCUUACGCUCUGGGCUGCACACGUGCUACAAUGGCUGGUACAGAGGGCUGCAAUACCGCGAGGUGGAGCCAAUCCCAAAAACCAGCGUGAGUUCGGAUUGGAGUCUGCAACUCGACUCCAUGAACGUUGAAUUGCUAGUAAUCGCGGAUCAGCAUGCCGCGGUGAAUACGUUCCCGGGUCUUGUACACACCGCCCGUCAAGCUAGGAAAGCCGGAGAUACCUGAAGUCGUGGAUCCAACCCGCAAGGGAGGAUAGCGCCGAGGGUAGGGCUGGCGAUUCGAGCUAAGUCGUAACAAGGUAGCCGUACCGGAAGGUGCGGCUG